This 941-nucleotide ribosomal RNA is filed under the name uncultured delta proteobacterium. RNAcentral describes it as "bacterial SSU rRNA". It matches the Rfam family "Bacterial small subunit ribosomal RNA", at positions 8 to 923 of the family's 1533-position model. The record is from RNAcentral. Lineage: Bacteria; Deltaproteobacteria.
AGAGUUUGAUCAUGGCUCAGAACGAACGCUGGCGGCGUGCUUAACACAUGCAAGUCGAACGAGAAAGUUUUCUUCGGAAAACGAGUAGAGUGGCGCACGGGUGAGUAACGCGUAGGUAAUCUACCCUUAUGACUGGGAUAACAUUGGGAAACUGGUGCUAAUACCGGGUAUCCUUUUUUGCUGCAGGGCGAAGAAGGAAAGGUGGCCUCUUCAUGAAAGCUACCGCAUAGGGAUGAGCCUGCGUACCAUUAGCUAGUAGGUGCGGGUAACGGCCCACCUAGGCAACGAUGGUUAGCGGGUCUGAGAGGAUGAUCCGCCACACUGGAACUGGAACACGGACCAGACUCCUACGGGAGGCAGCAGUGAGGAAUAUUGCGCAAUGGGGGAAACCCUGACGCAGCGACGCCGCGUGAGUGAGGAAGGUCUUCGGAUCGUAAAGCUCUGUCAGAAGGGAAGAAGUGUUAUAUGGUUAACACCCAUGUAAUUUGACGGUACCUUCAGAGGAAGCACCGGCUAACUCCGUGCCAGCAGCCGCGGUAAUACGGAGGGCGCAAGCGUUGUUCGGAAUUACUGGGCGUAAAGGGCGCGUAGGCGGCCUGAUAAGUCAGAUGUGAAAGUCCACGGCUCAACCGUGGAAGUGCAUUUGAAACUGUCAGGCUUGAGUAUCGGAGGGGAGUGUGGAAUUCCCGGUGUAGAGGUGAAAUUCGUAGAGAUCGGGAGGAACACCUGUGGCGAAGGCGACACUCUGGACGAAUACUGACGCUGAGGCGCGAAAGCGUGGGGAGCAAACAGGAUUAGAUACCCUGGUAGUCCACGCCGUAAACGAUGAGAACUAGAGGUAGGGGGUGUUGAUCCCUCCUGUCUCGCAGCUAACGCAUUAAGUUCUCCGCCUGGGGAGUACGGUCGCAAGAUUAAAACUCAAAGGAAUUGACGGGGGCCCC